This 1036-nucleotide long non-coding RNA is filed under the name Bos taurus (domestic cattle). Its description in RNAcentral is "long non-coding RNA NONBTAT030214". Lineage: Eukaryota; Metazoa; Chordata; Mammalia; Artiodactyla; Bovidae. The record is from RNAcentral.
AUGGGAUUGCAAAGAGUCGGACACGACUGAGCGACUGAACUGAACUGAACAGAACCUUUUGUUGGUUAUACAUGUUGCAAAUAUGUUCUUUCAAUGUGUAUCAUGUAUUUUUACUUUAGUUAUAGUAUAUUUUAAGGAACAGAAGUUUUCAGUGUCAAAGAUUUUCAAUCCAUCCUUUUAUGAUGAGCAUAGAAUUAGGAAAUAAGAAAGGUGUUAUAGUCUGUAUUAAUUGCUGUUAUUUCCUGUGCUCAGGAUCUUUUGCUGGUCCCAUGAAGAAUUUAGUAUGAUCUUUACUAUGAAAAAUUCUGAUUGUCAGAAUAGUUCAUUCCACAUUUCUCGAGAUUUUGAUGAUUCAGAGGAAAAGAGAUUGGGUAAAUCUGUUGGUAACUGAUAUACCAAGUUCACUUAAAGAAAGCUUGAAGUCUUCUUGGGAUCAUAGGGAAGGUGAGAAAGAAAAUGAAAGGAUGAGAGUGUCUCUUUUACAUUGUUUUGAAAGUUCAAGGAAGUGAUUAACCAUAGAAUCCUAUAGCAAAUUCCAUAGACAAUGGGAAAAAACAACUCAUCAAGAUUGUACUUCCCUGAUUCUCUUACAUGACUUCUCUGAGCUACUCCCUCCGGGCGGAACCCCACAGCUUUCAUUUUUCGUGAGGUAAAUAUACAACUAAAUUGGAAAGCUACUAAUGGUUGAAAUGGUAGAAAAAGAGGAAAUUUUAUUGUCUUUCUUUAAGCAUUACCUGUAGAUAAUGUUAUUUCAUUGGUAAUAUCUAAAGAUUCAGACUGGUGGAAUUCUAACUUGUUUUUCCCACAAGUGGGGUGGAAGUUUUAAUUAAUCAAAAUGGGCUAGAUGUGAAAAAUAAAAUGGUAUUUUUUCAGACUUGAGGAAGUGAAUAGGAGUAAAAUUUAUGGGGUCUAAGACCCAAAAGUUAUCCUUUGAUAUAGGCUGGAAAGAACUACUAAAAUUAAGACACAAGACAGCAAAAGUCUCCACUUAAGGUUUGUAAAUCUGAAAUGAUACUUUAUUUUUUUAAAUCUAUGU